CCAAGAGGGGGGAGGCCCAGAUGGCGGGCGGCGCAGAGGAGGCCUCAGCCCCGCCUCUGGCCAAAAAGGAACACCCCUCCCCCUUUGCCACUUGCACGCUACCGGAAGCUAGAGGGGACUCUGACGCCAACGCGCAAAAGCGUCCUUCCAUUUCCGUUUCUGCUGGCGACCAUAGAGUUUCAUUUUCGGCGGCUCACUACCGCCGCCCGCCGAAGAAACAGCUCUGAUUUUUUUCCAUGGUGCUGGCUUUGGAGGAAGAACCGCAAGUGCAGUGCGCAUCGAUGGGCAGUCAUGGCCUCCGAUGCCCAGGUAGUCAUGGGCAAAAGAGAGAGCAGUUAAGGGAAGCCGCCGGGAGCGGGACUCACUAUUAACAUCUUUACUGAAGAUUGCAAUCAGUUAUAUAAGCAGUGUGCAGUCAUGAGCAUGUCUGAAGGUACUCUUUAGCUCCAACAACUCUCCUUCUCUAGGAAUCAAUUACUGAAUACUAGUAUUGCAUCAUACUGAAAUGGAGAGAACAAUGAUGGGAGAAAGAGAGUGAAAUGGUAACCUACUUCCUGCAGCAAAAGAAGGUGUCAUCAAAAAGACAGGCUGGAGGCAAAGGGAAAAAAUUUGGCUAACAUUUUGAACAAGGAAGAGCUAAAGUUAAGGCUGAGGAAGGAAGGAUAGACAAAGAAGGAGAUUUGUCUGACAAAAGAGCAUUUGACCCGAUUAGUGUCCUGCACAAAGGCCAAUGGGAAAGAUACAGAAGUGGUUACAGGCGACAUCAACAUGCUGGUGUGUAUUGGACUAAAAGUAAAACUACCUUACCUUCAAAAUGGAAAAGAUUUAAGAAGGUUAAUACAUAUUGGACUGUGCAGUGCAAUUUUCACAAGAAGCAAUCACAGGUUUUAGAUUUAAGCUUAGCUUUGAGAGUUCCCAGCAUGUAUCCAUGUGAAUUACCAAUUUUCUCUGUAUGUGUAGUGCAGCCCCAAAUGCAAGUGAAUGAGAAGCCCGUGAGUUCCAUCUGCAUCAGAGCCACUGAAGGACUGUAUUUUUUUUUUAAAAAAAACACAUAAUAUGGUCAUGUUCAAUCCCACUGGUGUUCCUUGGCCAGGUAUUGUGAAUCCCUGGAUGCAAUAUGUUGCUUGUUUUGCCUCUUGCUAUUUGUCUUGACAAUGGGUUGCCAAAAGCAGCAGAAGCUAUUCAGAAGCCCCUUCAAAUGGUUAGCAGCCAUUGACUCUGAAGCAGCUAUCCUAAGCACAUAUAUCAAGUGAAGAGCCCCUUUCAACACCCCCACUCUUGCAUGUAAGCCCACUAUGAGUGUAGAUACUAUACUCAUGUACAUGGAGCAACUUAGCUGUAUUCUCACCCAAUCAUCCCCUUCUUUGUCACUGAGGUAAUGACUGGCUGGGAAAGAUCCUCACGAUUAGUCUUGCCCUACACGGUUAUGAUAUUCACACACAAUACCACCACCACGUGACAUUGCACUACAGGAAACAGGCUCCCUUGUAGCUGUAGGGUGUCCAAAGGCUUUGUGAGCCUUUGAAGUCAGUAGGUGUCACUUGCAAGCAAACUCACUUAUUAUCUGGUCUCAAACCUAAAAGCUCUCAUUGUCAAAUUUGAUUUAACAGUUCCUUCAUAAAUAUCACAUUUAAAAACAGUUUUAAAUUCAGUUUUAAUUAUCCCCUAUGGAACAUUAAUCACCACUGAUGGCCUUGCUGCAAAUAAUUUAUGCACACCAUCUAUAUCUGCCAAUUUGUUUAGGAUGCCUUUCCAAACAAUAAAUAGGCAGUCUGUGUUAGGGGAAAAACUGUCAAUAGCUUCAACUAUCACCUGAAUGAGAGAACUGAUUAACUUUUGUAAUUAUCUGAGACAUUUAAGUUAGCUUAAAUAACUGACAGCUGUUUUUUUCUAGGACUGCCAACCAAUUAAAGAGUUUAAGUUGAUUACUUGCCUUUUUCCCUGAUUAAUAAUUCAAAUUAAAUGCAUAUUAUAAAACUGCCAAAUUGGUGCCUUUUUUGAGACACUGAAGGAACUGUACAGUAACUUACAAUCAAAACAUGCUUACCAUUGAACUUAUUUCUGAGCAAACAUAUACAGAAUUAUACUGCAAUCAGUGUGCUAUCAUCAUUGCUAAAAGAAAAUAAGUAUUUCAGUUAUGCACCAGAACCAAGAUCACUUCAAAAGAUAUAGAUGUAAACAUAGCCUCGUGGGUCCAAUGAAUGACAUGUGCUACAAUAUUACUGCUUAACAGACAUAAACCUGACUGUUGGGAGAGUACUGGAAAUCUUGUAUACAAUAAAAAGUUCACAGUCUCACCAA
Long non-coding RNA from Hemicordylus capensis (graceful crag lizard), 2301 nucleotides. RefSeq lists it as uncharacterized. The transcript has 3 exons. Lineage: Eukaryota; Metazoa; Chordata; Lepidosauria; Squamata; Cordylidae. The record is from RefSeq and is a predicted model, not a curated record.